This 68-nucleotide transfer RNA is filed under the name Aphanopus carbo (black scabbardfish). RNAcentral's name for it is "tRNA-Ser". The record is from RNAcentral. Lineage: Eukaryota; Metazoa; Chordata; Actinopteri; Scombriformes; Trichiuridae.
GAGAGAGGCCCUGAAGCAACGAAAACUGCUAAUUUUCGCGACCUUGGUUAGACCCCAAGGCUCACUCG